RNAcentral lists this ribosomal RNA (1244 nucleotides) under metagenome. RNAcentral's name for it is "bacterial LSU rRNA". It matches the Rfam family "Bacterial large subunit ribosomal RNA", at positions 1564 to 2816 of the family's 2925-position model. The record is from RNAcentral.
UGAAUACGAGAUGCUACGGCGUCGAAGCAGUCUAUGUCAUACUUCCAAGAAAAGCUUGCACUGUCAUAAACAAAUAAUGCCUGUACCAUAACCGACACAGGUGGGUAGGUAGAGUAUACUAAGGGGCGCGAGAUAACUCUCUCUAAGGAACUCGGCAAAAUGACUCCGUAACUUCGGGAGAAGGAGUGCCUUAUUUAUAAGGUUGCAAUAACAAGAUCCAAGCAACUGUUUACCAAAAACACAGGUCUCCGCUAAGUCGUAAGACGAUGUAUGGGGGCUGACGCCUGCCCAGUGCCAGAAGGUUAAAGAAGUUGGUUAGCAUCCGCGAAGCUGAUAACUGAAGCCCUGGUGAACGGCGGCCGUAACGAUAACGGUCCUAAGGUAGCGAAAUUCCUUGUCGGGUAAGUUCCGACCCGCACGAAAGGCGUAAUCAUUUGGAUACUGUCUCGGAGAGGGGCUCGGUGAAAUAGACUUGUCUGUGAAGGAUGCGGACUACCUGCACCAGGACAGAAAGACCCUAUGAAGCUUUACUGUAACCUGAAAUUGAAAUUGGACUUUACUUGCGCAGUAUAGGUGGGAGGCGUUGAGAAUAUUCCUGCGGGAUUAUUGGAGCCAUCAGUGAGAUACCACUCUUGUAAUGUUAGAUUUCUAACUUUGUAUCAUUAUCUGGUCAAAGAACAGUUUCAGGCGGGCAGUUUGACUGGGGCGGUCGCCUCCUAAACGGUAACGGAGGCGCACAAAGGUUUCCUCUGAACGGGUAGAAAUCGUAUCUAGAGUGUAAAGGCAUAAGGAAGCUUGACUGUGAGACCUACAAGUCGAGCAGGGACGAAAGUCGGUCUUAGUGAUCUGACGGUGCUGAGUGGAAAGGCCGUCACUCAACGGAUAAAAGUUACUCUAAGGAUAACAGGCUGAUCUCCCCCAAGAGUUCACAUCGACGGGGAGGUUUGGCACCUCGAUGUCGGCUCAUCGCAUCCUGGGGCGGUAGUACGUCCCAAGGGUUGGGCUGUUCGCCCAUGAAAGCGGUACGCGAGCUGGGUUCAGAACGUCGUGAGACAGUUCGGUCCAUAUCCGGUGUAGGCGUUAGAAUAUUGAGAGGAGCCUUCUUUAGUACGAGAGGACCGAGAAGGACAUACCUCUGGUGUACCAGUUAUCGUGCCAACGGUAAACGCUGGGUAGCUAUGUGUGGAGUGGAUAACCGCUGAAAGCAUCUAAGUGGGAAGCCCACCUCAAGAUAAGUAUUCUCA